This is a long non-coding RNA of Rattus norvegicus (Norway rat), 7913 nucleotides long. RefSeq lists it as uncharacterized. NCBI's taxonomy places the organism in Eukaryota, Metazoa, Chordata, Mammalia, Rodentia, Muridae. The record is from RefSeq and is a predicted model, not a curated record.
GAAACAGGGAAAUGGGGAUAGCAUUUGAAAUGUAAAUAAAGAAAAUAUCCAAUAAAAGAAAAAAUAAGACCAGGAAAAAAUAUAAAUGGAAAAAAAAAGGUUCCCCUUAAAUCAUUACCAUUUAUCCUAAGAAAAGCCUUAGUUUUGCCUUACAUUAUGAUAAGCUAAUUUGAAAUUUUUCACCUCUAUCUAACUAGAAUCCAACUUUAAAAUCUCUUUUUGCUUGAUCUCCUCUACAUCCCUCUUAAUUAUGUUUGGGAAUUUAUCCUUCCUGCUUCAGCAGUUGUGAUGGUUUGUAUAUGCUCAGCCCAGGGAGUAGAACUAUUAGAUGUGGCCCUGUUGGAGUAGGUGUAUCACUGUGGGUGUGGGCUGUAAGACUCUCAGCUGUCUAGAAAUGAGUUUUCUGCUAGCCACCUUCAAAUGAAGAUGUAGACCUCUCAGCUCCUCCUGCACCAUGCCUGCCUGGAUGCUGCCAUGUUCUCGCCUUGAUGAUAAUGGACUGAACCUCUGAACCUGUAAGCCAGACCCAGUUAAAUGUCCUUUAUAAGAGUUGCCUUGGUCAUGGUGUCUGUUCACAGCAGUGAAACCCUGACUAAGACAGAAGUAUUAAAUUUGAAUUCAUUUCAAUACAUUAUUUGUUAUGGGCAAAAAAGAAAAAGAGUAAAAGAAAAGAAAAAGAAAUAACCUCUCCCAAUGUCCACCAGAGCAGCAUAUUAUCUUGCCCUACUUUCCUCGCAGCGAUGUUAUGAAGCAUGAUUACCAUAGCAAUUACAUCACUUGCCUCUAAAUGGGUGCUCUGUACCUGCUCUGUUUCAGGUUCUACUCUUCAUUGUGUAGCCAUUUAGUUGGGCAUAGUGGUGCAUUCCUAUAAGCUCAGUAUCUUAAGGGUGAGCUUGGAGGAUGAGUAAAAGUUGGAGGAUAGCAUGGGUUAACAGUGAGUUCCGCCUCAGCCUUCAGUACCCAGUAAACCUUUUCUCAAAAACAAAGCACAACUGACAUAAAUAAAUAAAUAAAUAAAUAAAUAAAUAAAUAAAUAAAUAAAUAAAUAUCAAGUUUUAAGAACUUAUACAAUAAGCUAUAUUAUGCCACAUUAAGGGGGGGGGCCUACAUAGGAUCAAAGUAUUUCAUCCGCAGUUCGUCAGUAAACAUGCUACAGAAUUUAGCUCCUAAGGCCAGACACUGGCUGGAAACAAGUAUUGGAAACAAGGAUGGAGAAAAUUAAAACCAAGAGCCAGCAUCUCUGUAAGGAGCUGAAUGACUAUUACUUAGCCUUACUAUAGCAAACCUCAUCAAGAUGCACGCCAACACAAAGGGCUUUCUGCAGUAUUGCUUUCUAAUCUCUGCUACAUAGAAGACAUAUUAAGUAGCUGUUUUCCCAGCAGUGUCCCCUAAGAUAAAAUGGAAAAAGUAAGCCAUUCCAAUAUAGCAGCCCAGGCUUCCUGAAGUGACUUUGUGGGAACUAAAAGGCAAAGCCAAGAAUGUAACAGACCAUCAUGAUACCUGAUGCUCAGAGUGUUCAACCGUACAGAAAGAAGUGUUACUGAUUGAUGCUCCUGGGGUCUGACCUGCAGCCCUGAGGAUCAGCUUUCAGAAUGUGGUUAUGUUUUCUGAGGCAAACUCUAGGUAAGAGAAAGGUGUCAAUAUUGUGAUCAUAAAUGGUAACUGCCUUUUUUUUAGUGAAGUUGACAUUAGGGAAAAUAACAGAAGAGAGGUUGCAGAAGUAACCAGAACAAUACUGGCUAUGACAAUCUGUCACCUCUACCUAGUGGAGAGAUCUGGGCUUAUCAUUGACUUGAAGGAUGUGUGUUUAAAAAAUCUACUUUGUAUUACUCCAAAAUAGCGUCGUGCAUAGAAAAACUAUAAACCCGAUGAAAGUAUAAGAAAAAGAUCACUUCCUUUCCCAAGGCAACUAUUAUUAUUUUGGCACUUGCAUUCUCUAUUUCCAUGCAUCUUUUCUGUAGUUGAUAUAUUAUCCUAUGUGAAAUAUUAUACUACAUUUGUUAGUUAUAAUAAAUGUUUUCCAGUUGACUGUACUUUAAUAAUGUCUGGAUUACUCACCACAAUUUGUUUUCUUUUUGAACAUCUAAAAUGAAAUAUGUUUUACCAUGUAGAAUAGAGUGAUGAAAUAAAUUAUGAAUCCUUACUUGGCCCAAACUACAAGGCUUCUGAAGGGAAGUAGAGAGGAGAUUCUGUACACAACUGUAAUAAAUAUGAAGUCCUACCUAAUCCUUAUGACAUGGAAGUCAGGGGGUGGUGACAAUACCUAGAAAUUAAUUGUUCAGCAGAUUUUCCAGGAACUACCAUUCUUCAUUCUAUUUCUUGGUAUUUUUGAUUUUUCAUAUUCAAAUGCAGAAAACCCCACAAGAACAAUUUCUUCUAAUUGUCUUACCAUGUCCUACAAUUUGUAAAGACAGUUCAAACUUUACAUUACUAUUCCUCUGUUUCAUUUGUUACUACAAAGACUAAUUCCCUAUUCAUGUGCUAUGGAGCUUUGAAUGAAAUUCUGUAUAUAUUUAUGAUAUCAUCAACUUAGUUUAAUUACUUUCACACUUAUACCUUUAUAAAUCCUUUUAAUGUAGAAAUAAUGUCCUUUUCCUUAGACACUAUCAAAUGAAUGUCCAGUAGAAUAAAAGCUUCACAAGUAUUUUUCAAAAGUUUCUAUUGGGUAAAUUUAAAGGAAACCGACGAUUUUCAAAAGCAGAAUCAAAUGAUAUACUGCAUAAUUUUUAUUAUCAGAGAUAAGUAUAUGUGAACUACAGUGUUAGUUUUUCUUCCUUUUUUCUUCCCUCUUGCCUUUCAUCCCUCUCCUAGAUAUGUAUGUAUACAUAUUUACACAUAUAUUUGUACAAGUUUUAUUUAUUGAAAUGAAGUCUAUAUACAUAGCUUAGGCUAGCACUGAACAUCUUGAGUUACAGGUCAGCACCAUAUUGCUUGAUAUAAAGUUGUCUCUAAAAUAUGUACACGUGUGUACUCUGUAAAAUAUAUACAUGUAUGUACUUUUGUAGCAUCUUUAACUAGUAUUUAAAAAGUCAUUGUUUCCCUGAGUGUGCAUGCACUGUCUCAUUUUUGCAUGACUUGGUCCUGAAAACCUAACUGGGCUGACCUGGGAAUGAACAACUGAAGACUUGAAGAAGCAACUAAUACACAUACAUUAAACCUGGGAUCCUGUGGGCAGCACUUACUCUGAUGGAGGGCACCUACUAUGCUACCUGGAAACAGAGUAUUUAUGUACAUCAUGAGGAGUAGGGAUUAUUGUGUAUGGGUGAGAGGCCUCUCUAUGGGGAGCAAUCUCAGGCUGUAAAUGGCAGAAGACAAAGCUACAGUCCAUAGUUUUUGUACACUGGUUUUAGCUGAAGUUCGAUUGUUCAACACUUUUACUUGGACCAGAGGGAGACUUUGCUAAACCUCUGAGCCUCACCCAAAGAAGCCAUUAGUAUUUCCAUGGGUCUGAAGCACUGGGGUCCUUGACAUGCCUAUACUCGUUGAUAACUCAUUCAUUCAGAACUUCAUUGUCUUCUUUCACAUUUGCUAAGGGCUUCCUUUGCUCCCCAUACUCUAUCUUUCUCUUUAGAUGCAGGAUAUAUAAUUGUUUGGAGACUCACCAUAUAGACUAGCUGUCCAGUGAGUUUCAGGGAUCCAUUGAUUCUGCCACAAGAAUUUUGAUGACUGAUUUAUCUUCCCAAACCUUAUUUCUUGAAAUAUGAAAUAUGAUUAUGAUGAUGACGACGACGAUGACAAUGAUGGUGGUGAUGGUGGUGGUGAUGAUGGUGAUGAUGGUGACGAAUACGAUGACGAUGACGAUGACGAUGAUGAUUUGUUUCCAGAGAAGAAGUGACUAACAAAUUUGUGAAGUUAUAGGUGACUUGGCAUUGAGAUGGCUAAGACUGUAGAAGAAGAUGUGAUAGAACUUGCAGUAUUUUCUUUAUUCUGCAACUCCACUGGAGUUUAAGAAGAUUGAUCUGUAAACCAAGAGUACCAAAAAUUGAGCUGACUUCCGUCUGAGUUAGAAUUUCUAUUGCCAGGAUGAGACACCAUAAGCAAAAAGUAAGUGAAGGAGGAAAGUUUAUUUGGCUUACACUUUCAGAUCAUAGUCCACCAUUAAAAGAAGCCAGGGCAGGAAUUCAAACAAUGCCCUUGCUCUACCUGCUUUCUUACAGAACCCAGGACCACCAGCCCAGAGACAGCACCAGCCACAAUGGACUGGGCCCUUCUCCAUUGAUUACAUUGAUGACCUACAGCAGGCACUUGUGGAGGCAGCUUUCAGUUGAGAUUCCUUCUGUACCAAUGAUUCUGGCUUGUGUUAAGUAAACAUAAAACUACCUAGAACACAUUUCUUCAACUAUCAAAAACCGUAUCAAUAAAUUCCAUUUCUAUGUUCACCAGACAGCACAAAAGAUUUGUAGUCCAUUGAUUAAACCAUAUUUCCCCCACCCAUAAGGAUUAUAGAUGGCUGGAAAGCUAUUUGAAAAUGAUUUUAAUUUUUUUGAGAGGGAAUUACUUGCUCUAAGACAGUAUUUUCUUUAUUUUUUCUGACUUCAUUUUAUUUUUCUACUUAUUUUAAUUUGCUUUAGACAAAGACAGUUUAUGUAUACUACUAUAUAAUACAAACACAUAUUUUAUAAACAGCAUUAUAAUCCUGGGAAAUUAAAAUGAAAAAACAUAAUAUGUUUCACAUACUGUACAAGAAUAAAUUUCUUCACAGAUAUCAGUUCGAUUUAAAUUUCACCAAAUAAAUAUGAUUUACCUUUACUUUGUAUUGAUCCUGAUUGAAGGUAGUUCAGCUUUUAUGGGAAUGUAGUUAUCUCCCCACAAUCAGCACUCAGAGAACCACGGAAGCAAUUGAAUCAGAGCAACUACUUGUAAAUGGCAAAACAAAUUGAUAAUCUUAGACUUAAAAAUACCACUUUAACACAGAGAAAGUAAAGCCCUAUCUUUCCCUUCUAAUGACAGUGUUUUCUUUUUAGCCAAACAAUAUGAGGCUGAUUGUGUUAUUACAGCAAAGCUAUUCAAAAGCUUGGAAAGUGUCUGUUGGAAAUGUCUUUCAUUGGCUCUGAGACAACAUAAAUAUUUCUGAAUAGCCUAGUACAGACACAAUUCUUUUAGGAUAUUCACUAUCCUUAGGUAGUCUCCUCUGGAGGAGUUAUGCAGAGUCUCAGCCUCGCCAAACUAAUAUUUUUUCAGUACUCAUGGAGGCACAGCUUUCUUAAGGAGAACUGAGUGCCCUGGAGCAAACAAUGAAUUUAGGAGCUAUUCAGAAGGGCUCUAGGAAAGCAGUGUGUUGAUUGCAGAUCAGAGAGCCCUGAGAACUCACCCUUGCUUGGUAAAAGCUCUUGAGGUUAGAGAUCUGGUUGGCAAGAAGUGUCAGCUAGCAAAGAGCUUAUUACCUGUGUUGAUACAACUACAGCUAUUGUUUUUUAUUGGAAGUUUUAUUUAUUUACAUUUCAAAUAUUAUCCCUUUCCCAGUCGCCCCUCUGGAAACCCCCUACAAUUUCUCCCUCCCCCUGCUUCUAUAAGGGUACUUCUCCACCCACCUCCCCACCCUCUCCUUCCUCCCUGACCCCUACACUGGGGCAUCAAGCCUUCCCAGGACCAAGGGUCUCUUUUCCCUUUGAUGUGCGUUAGCAGAGUGGAGUAGCAGAAGCCUGCUGGGCCCAUAACCCUGAGGCCAACAGAUCAGAAACAUUCUCUGCUAACUACAGCCAUUUCUAUUCUGUGUAAGCCAAAGGUACAAACACAUCAAUUUGAUAAAAGGUAAUCAGGAGAACAAAACGUUUCCACUAUAUCUUUAGCUAGUAAUAUUUCUUGGCUGUAUUAUGGGAUAUUAUGGUUACUAGAUAUUUUAAUCUUCAAUCAUAACUAACAAUUUCCAGUAGUGUCUCAUUUUUGCUACACUUGCUAUUCAAUAACCCCCUUCAACAUUAUCAGCACUAGAAAUAAAAACAUGUCACUACUCCUAGUUUUACUAAGAGUACAAAAAGAAGGGAAGAUGGAUUUUAGGAGCCAGAGAUGUGAGGACACCAGGAGAACGUGGUCCUCAGAAUCAACUAAGCAGGGCUCUUACGGCAGAGACUGAAGUGGCAAUGAUGGAGAUAGUGUGGUUCUGAACAAGAUCCUCUUUGCACAUAUGCGUAUAUGUUUAGUUUGUGUGUGUGUGUGUGUGUGUGUGUGUGUGUGUGUGUGUGUGUGUAAGUCUUAAAAAUGAGAGUAAAUAGGGAUGUCUCUCUGAUUCUUUUGCCUGCUCAUGGAACCCCUUUCCUCCUACUGGGUUGCCUUGUGCAACCUUAAUAUGAGGGUUUGUGCCUAGUUUUAUUGCAUCUUUGUUAUGCCAUAUUUGGGAGUCCUGCUUGUUUCUGAAGGGAAAUGAAGGAGUAAUAGAUUGGAGGAAGAGGCCAUGGAAGGGGAUAGGAGGAAGGGAGGGAUGGGAGGCUUUAGUUGGGAUGUAGUAUAUUAGAGAAGAAUAAAGAAAAAGAAAAUUUUGAAGAGUACAAAAUCACGUUGAACACACACAAGUAUUUUUGUUUUAAAAGUAACAAAAGUAAUUAUUAUAUACUUUUCUCCUAACUUAAGAAAACACACUGCAAAGAUGCUUGCAAACUUCAAAGUACUGAAAACAAUCCAGAACUUGCUAAUAAAAGUGAACAUUAGUGUUGGCACUAGAGACAGAGUGAAAGAGUUGUGGAUUCUAGAAUCUUCCUGUGGCCAACACACCUUGUAAAUUUGUUUGCAAGAAACAUCUUUCCUAUAGGCUAAGUUAUGUCACUGAUUUAUAGUCCCAGCUCAGUGGAGAAGCUGUGCAAUGUUGUCAAACUGCAACUGUUCAGGGAGUAAUAAUACACGGUCUGUAUAUGUCCUCACAGAUUCACUUUUUCCCAAAGCCUGUGAAUCCAUCUUUAGUUGGAUGACUGAAUGUGGUCUUCUAGGAAAUGGAGGACAGAAUGUUCCAGAACCACCACCAUGAUCUUUCUUCUGUAACAGAAACCGUACCAUGAAUCAAGCUUCCAUUUCCACAAAAGACAUUUCUAUUCUCUGGCCUGAUUUACUGCUCAUUUAGUCAAGAGAGGAUGAAUAAAAUGCUGUCUAAUCCACUGUGGACUGCGAUGGAUUUUGAGGUAGAGCAAGCAUGUGAAGCCUUCAGUUCCCUACCGUGAAUUUAUUUAGGAUUUGUAGUUAAAUGUGAAGAGGAGACACCAGAAUGAGUUUUCUCCCCUUAUGUUAUGAUUCCCUUGAGAAUUAGCUAUUCCCAGUAUCCUACUGGCUGUUAGUAUGGCAGGAUGUCAUUUUGAAUUCAAUAGUAUGGUUCUUUUUUCCUUAUUUUUUGACAGUCAAUUUUCCUCUUAAAUUUACUCAUUUCAUGUAAUUUUUCUAAAUUGAAUCAGUAUUCUAUUUCUAGACUUAACCUGACUUGAUCAUCAACAAUUAUCUUUGUGUACUCUGCUAAAUAAAAUUGCUAACAAGUUAACUAGGAUUUCUCAUAUUUGUUUAUACAUAUUAUAACCUAGAAUUUUGUGUUUUGCUGUUUUCCUUCACUGAAAUGUAUCAAGGUCAUAUUAGUUUCAUAAAAUGAGUUAGAGAGUGGCAGCUCGUAUGGUAUUUUCUGGAAGCGUUUCUAUAAGGUUUCAAUGAAUCAUUCCCCAACAGUUUAAUAGAAAUUCAACGGAAACUCAUUUGAAUGUGUCAUUUCCGAUGCUGAAAAUGUUAAAAUUAUGGAUGGCAUCUCAUUGGUUCAAAUUGAACCCAAAGUUUAUGCUGCUAGUGACAAGUUGAUUUGGAUAAAUUUUUCAGGAAGGUGUGUACUUUUACAAUUAUUUCACUUCAUUUUUGAAGAUUCAUUCAUAAAACCCUAUUUUCCUAUUUUUACAACAAGUGUAUCCAGAUUUUAAUUCAUGACACUGUUCCAAUUUCUUUCUUUUGCU